Molecule: transfer RNA, 70 nt
Filed under: Halichoerus grypus (gray seal)
Lineage: Eukaryota; Metazoa; Chordata; Mammalia; Carnivora; Phocidae
Also listed under: 3 other names
Description: tRNA-Phe
Rfam family: tRNA
About the family: Transfer RNA (tRNA) molecules are approximately 80 nucleotides in length.
Source: RNAcentral
GUUAAUGUAGCUUAAUAAACCAAAGCAAGGCACUGAAAAUGCCUAGAUGAGCCAUAAGGCUCCAUAAACA